CCUGCCGAAAAGUCCAGAAACAAUGGAGAGAGAUAGGGAGCUUCGAUUUCCUCCAGUCCACUGUCAUCUCUUCCCUUUUUCUGUCGUCCUCCACUGUAUUUUAUCUCUCCCCUCUGGUUUCCGGUGAUCGCGCGGUGAAAGUGGAGACUUGGCGUCCCUAUGUGAUACCCAGGUUGUCCGUCGUGCUUCCCUGUCUCUACUUGUUUUCUUUGUUGCUUCUCCGUUCUUGCUGUUCACGUACACGCAGCUGGGGUCCGAGAAUCAGGUCGUCGAAGCUGGUAGGGUUGUUCGCGAGCUCAUCUCUGUUUGAUCUAGUGCUGUGAUUCUGUUUUCUUCCUUUCGUGUGCACCCUGUCUCUGAUUCGUUCUCUAUGCAGUUCGUGAUUUUUUUUUUUUCCUUCUUCUAUUAUUGCUGUGGUUGAGUGCAUCUGGUCCUUUAGCCUUCUUGUGCGUUUCUGAAGAGAGAAAGAGGAGUGGUCUGCCAUUGGUUGAAGCUGGAAAUAGGAGAACUCCUCUCCCUGUUCUGUCAGCUUCUUCUCGUUCUCUCCCUCCUCUGUUACUGUUGGUACUUAAGGGUGUCUAGAGGAAGAGGAUCUUGAUAAAAGUGAUAAGGAGUAAGCUAUAGAGGUUGGAAAGGCUUAUCAGGACGUUAUUCACUGGAAAAGAUAUUUUGGUCUCAGAUGGUAUAGUUGAACUCGUGACUCGAGAUAUCCACUGAGGAGUUUUAUUGCUGAAUUGAAGCAGAAGAAUUAUUUUAAUCAAAUUCUAAUUUGAUGAAAAAUUUGAACUUUAUACCUACAUUAGCAUUUGGCCUUAGGUGCUCCACAUAGACUGCAGAGUUUCUUCGAUCAAGGCUUAAGGAAUAUGAGUUUUGUGCCUAUAUCCUGUACCGGUCACACCUGAUUUUUGGGGCGUGACACUUACAUUGAAAGGCAGAACAAGUGAAGUGGAGCUAGUCCAAAGGCUGCGCAGAACAAAUGAUAGCGGAGGAAAGUUAUAUACAAUAGACACUCAUACCGGCUUGUGGCUUAAGCAAAAACUACAAAAUUUCUUGAUUUUGAUUAUUAGUAAAAGCCAUCCAAUUUCAAGUUCAA
Molecule: long non-coding RNA, 1093 nt
Organism: Prosopis cineraria
Lineage: Eukaryota; Viridiplantae; Streptophyta; Magnoliopsida; Fabales; Fabaceae
Exons: 4
Source: RefSeq, a predicted model, not a curated record